RNAcentral lists this transfer-messenger RNA (399 nucleotides) under Bacteroidales. RNAcentral describes it as "RUG11257 sp017614715 Standard tmRNA". It matches the Rfam family "transfer-messenger RNA". Rfam says of the family: Bacterial tmRNA, also known as 10Sa RNA or SsrA, is named for its dual tRNA and mRNA-like properties. Its role is to liberate the mRNA from a stalled ribosome. RNAcentral also lists the same sequence under 1 other name. Lineage: Bacteria; Pseudomonadati; Bacteroidota; Bacteroidia. The record is from RNAcentral.
GGGGAUGUUUUGGUUUUGACAGCAAUCGAUUUCUUCAGGUAAGCACGUCGAGAGUCGUGGCCCCUCUCGUAAAUCUCAGACCUCACGCCAUAACUGGCACAAACAACUAUGCUCUCGCUGCGUAAUUAGGCCAAGCCUAAUACCUUAAUCUCCCCGUCAAGGACGGGCAGACGAGCGUUCCGCCGGAUUUUUGUGGAAGUUCGGUCCGGGAUUCGGAACGAGGCAGAACAAUUCCUGCUCGCACCUACUACUUCUGUCGGUGCGCUAAGAUUCAGAGGCUAAGGGAGCGUUAGCCCGCCGCCCGGCGGAUUCUCCCCGACAAUCAAAGGGUGGAUAAGCGUGUAGAAAGCUUGCGGGGACGUUGUUUGGACGGCGGUUCGAGUCCGCCCAUCUCCACAA